UGGGGAAUCUUGCGCAAUGGGCGAAAGCCUGACGCAGCCACGCCACGUGUGGGACGGCGGCCCUCGGGUUGUAAACCACUUUCAGCAGGGACGAAAAUGACGGUACCUGCAGAAGAAGCCCCGGCCAACUACGUGCCAGCAGCCGCGGUAA
Molecule: ribosomal RNA, 151 nt
Filed under: uncultured bacterium
Lineage: Bacteria
Description: partial 16S ribosomal RNA
Rfam family: Bacterial small subunit ribosomal RNA
Source: RNAcentral